Amblyraja radiata (thorny skate) is the source of this 825-nucleotide long non-coding RNA. RefSeq lists it as uncharacterized. The record is from RefSeq and is a predicted model, not a curated record. The transcript has 3 exons. NCBI's taxonomy places the organism in Eukaryota, Metazoa, Chordata, Chondrichthyes, Rajiformes, Rajidae.
UUUCUCUCUCCCUCCCUUUUUAAAUGGGUCUGGUCUGGAAAGGGCUGGGGAGGUGGUGCGGGCCAAGGGUGAAGGUCGGUAGGUCUGUCCGCUGUAACCAAAACCUGGUAUAAAGUGAUUUGUAAUAAUGAGGGUUUACUGUACCAGCACAUUUCAUUGACCACCAUUCAACGCACUGAUACUAGCAUCUCAAAUCAACUGCUCUCAAGUCAGAAGGUUGUAAGCUACCCAAACAAAUAGCUUGGGUAGCUCACAACACAACAAUAUCCCCUGUGCCGCAGGAGGCGAGUGUAUUGUAGAUAAGGAUGACAACAUUGUAAUUUGAUGACUGCUUAAUAUUUGCAAACUGCCAGGCAGUUGCGAUCUUCCCAGUGCUCUGAUUAAUUGAAUAAAAGCUCCUUGUUCAGGAAAACAAAACAGUAUGACAUGGAGUUUGUUUAAGAAGGAACUGCAGAUGCUGGAAAAUCAAAGGUAGACAAAAAUGCUGGAGAAACUCAGUGGGUGAGGCAGUAUCUAUGGAGUGAAAGAAAUAGGCAACGUUUUGGGGCGAAACCCUCCUUCAGACAUAGUAUGACAUGGAGGAUACAUGGAGGACAUACAGGAGCAAAAUUUGUCAAUUCAGCCCAUCGAGUACUCGCCAGCAUCUGCUGCUCCAUGUGUCUGUCUCCCUUGUGACUGGGUUCUCUGGAUUCCUCCCACAUCCCAAGAUGUGCAGUUAGUUUGGUCAAAUAGUCACUGUAGGUGUAUGUUCUGUAUGCAACACUGAAGGUUAACAAUAAAAUGGGACCCGUGUAAAUGGGUUAAAGAAGGAACUGCAGAUGCUGG